Molecule: small RNA, 132 nt
Filed under: Arabidopsis thaliana (thale cress)
Lineage: Eukaryota; Viridiplantae; Streptophyta; Magnoliopsida; Brassicales; Brassicaceae
Description: ATSL096880
Source: RNAcentral
UUUUUAAAAUUAUAUUUUAAUUGUUAAUUCUAGGAUUUGACCCAUAGUAUGCCAUCUCAUAUGAAUAUCGAUCCAAACUCGUUCCACUAUAUAACACCGUCCCGUGAAAUUAUACAUCAUUUUGUCAUUUUU